RNAcentral lists this ribosomal RNA (390 nucleotides) under uncultured bacterium. RNAcentral describes it as "bacterial SSU rRNA". It matches the Rfam family "Bacterial small subunit ribosomal RNA", at positions 29 to 424 of the family's 1533-position model. The record is from RNAcentral.
AUUGAACGCUGGCGGCAUGCUUUACACAUGCAAGUCGAACGGUAACAGGCCUUCGGGUGCUGACGAGUGGCGAACGGGUGAGUAAUGCAUCGGAACGUGCCCAAUCGUGGGGGAUAACGUAGCGAAAGUUACGCUAAUACCGCAUAAGCCCUGAGGGGGAAAGCAGGGGAUCGCAAGACCUUGCGCGAAUGGAGCGGCCGAUGUCAGAUUAGCUAGUUGGUGGGGUAAAGGCCUACCAAGGCGACGAUCUGUAGCGGGUCUGAGAGGAUGAUCCGCCACACUGGGAUUGAGACACGGCCCAGACUCCUACGGGAGGCAGCAGUGGGGAAUUUUGGACAAUGGGCGCAAGCCUGAUCCAGCCACGCCGCGUGCGGGACGAAGGCCUCGGUU